Molecule: long non-coding RNA, 273 nt
Organism: Dreissena polymorpha
Lineage: Eukaryota; Metazoa; Mollusca; Bivalvia; Myida; Dreissenidae
Exons: 2
Source: RefSeq, a predicted model, not a curated record
AGUCCUACCUUCUUUAAAAGUGGUCUUACUAUAGCUUGCUUCCAUUUUGAAGGGAAUACACCUUGUGUGAGAGAAAGAUUCACUAAGUUCAAAGGUAGGAGGUCCUGAAGAAAUGAUUUUAGGAUAUGCGUUAGUCAAGCAUAAGCAUGUCGUGCAUGAGUGUUAAAGUUAAAUUUUGGGAGCGUUAUUAAAUCCUUUUAAUCAAUUUAAUUAUACAAUAUCGUGUAGACAUGUGUAGCGGUGUUCAAAUCUCAUUGCAAAGUUGACAAUCAA